RNAcentral lists this ribosomal RNA (414 nucleotides) under uncultured bacterium. RNAcentral describes it as "bacterial SSU rRNA". It matches the Rfam family "Bacterial small subunit ribosomal RNA", at positions 340 to 749 of the family's 1533-position model. The record is from RNAcentral.
UACGGAAGGCAGCAGUGGGGAAUAUUGCACAAUGGGCGCAAGCCUGAUGCAGCCAUGCCGCGUGUAUGAAAAAGGCCUUCGGGUUGUAAAGUACUUUCAGUCGUGAGGAAGGUGUUAAGGUUAAUAACCUUAGCAAUUGACGUUAGCGACAGAAGAAGCACCGGCUAACUCCGUGCCAGCAGCCGCGGUAAUACGGAGGGUGCGAGCGUUAAUCGGAAUUACUGGGCGUAAAGGGCACGCAGGCGGUUAAUUAAGUUGGAUGUGAAAUCCCCGGGCUUAACCUGGGAAUGGCAUUCAAGACUGGUUAGCUAGAGUCUUGUAGAGGGGGUAGAAUUCCAUGUGUAGCGGUGAAAUGCGUAGAGAUGUGGAGGAAUACCGGUGGCGAAGGCGGCCCCUGGACAAAGCUGACGCUCA